GCCGGGCACGGUGGCUUGUGCCUGUAAUCCAAGCGCCGGGGAGGCUGAGGCUGGCGGAUGGCUUGAGCCUGGGGGUUCUGGGCUGCAGGGCGCUGUGCUGAGCGGGCGUCCACGCUAAGGUCGGCAUCGAUAUGGUGUCCUCCGGGGAGCUGGGGGGCACCAGGUCGCCUAAGGAGGGGUGAACCGGCC
RNAcentral lists this signal recognition particle RNA (189 nucleotides) under Anas platyrhynchos (mallard). RNAcentral describes it as "Metazoan signal recognition particle RNA". It matches the Rfam family "Metazoan signal recognition particle RNA", at positions 1 to 189 of the family's 299-position model. Rfam says of the family: The signal recognition particle (SRP) is a universally conserved ribonucleoprotein. It is involved in the co-translational targeting of proteins to membranes. The record is from Rfam by way of RNAcentral. Lineage: Eukaryota; Metazoa; Chordata; Aves; Anseriformes; Anatidae.